GACGUAGGGCGCGAGCGUUGUCCGGAUUUAUUGGGCGUAAAGAGCUCGUAGGCGGCUUGUCGCGUCGACUGUGAAAUCCCGCGGCUCAACUGCGGGUCUGCAGCCGAUACGGGCAGGCUAGAGUUCGGUAGGGGAGACUGGAAUUCCUGGUGUAGCGGUGAAAUGCGCAGAUAUCAGGAGGAACACCGGUGGCGAAGGCGGGUCUCUGGGCCGAUAUUGACGCUGAGGAGCGAAAGCGUGGGGAGCGAACAGG
This 253-nucleotide ribosomal RNA is filed under the name uncultured bacterium. Its description in RNAcentral is "partial 16S ribosomal RNA". It matches the Rfam family "Bacterial small subunit ribosomal RNA", at positions 524 to 776 of the family's 1533-position model. The record is from RNAcentral.